This is a long non-coding RNA of Homo sapiens (human), 1367 nucleotides long. Lineage: Eukaryota; Metazoa; Chordata; Mammalia; Primates; Hominidae. The record is from Ensembl.
UGUGUAUACAGUGAUUAAGCACAUAGGUUCUGGAGCCAGUCUGUUUCUUUCAAAAUCACCUCAUUGCUUUUGAAGAAUCAGGGAAACCCCCAUGAGACUACAGGUGUGAAGCAAGAUAGAAGCAUCAGUGCAAAAGAGUUCCUCUAAUCUGAUGGGACACUCCCGCAAUGAUGCUUCAGCUGUAUUUUAACCUCAAGAAACCCUAAGAUCCCUCACUCCUAUGCUGCUGUCAACGGGAGGCUAAGAAGCACAGAGAAAUAGGCCAUACAAAGUCUACCUCUCUGAACACUCUGAUUCUCUUACUGAGAUACCUUGGAACAUGGUUUGAAUAAUAUUGCUCUAACUUCUUUCAUGUCAGGAAGCUCUGAGUUGCCAUAGACUUGCGGAAAUGCCUGCUACAUACAUGCGUGUUGAACAAUGAACUUCAUAACUGACAUAUUUAUCAGAGAAUCAGGAUGAGAGAAGAUGCAGAAACACAGAAAGGAAGAGGAUUAGCAACUUUCCCAGAUCUGAGUUGAGCUGAGAUUUGAGUCAAGGCAAUAUUGCUUCUGGGGCUGUAACAACUACAUUUUAUUGUCUCCUGAACAGAUACUUCCUUUUCUUACUUAAUAAGAAUAGACCUUGGAGGUCUGGACCUGGACAUGAACGUACACUUUUCUAAAGAAGAUAUACACAUGGCCAACAAGCAUGUGAAAAAAAGCUCAAUAUCACUGAUCAUUAGAGAAAUGCAAAUGAAAAUCACAAUGAGAGACCAUCUCACACCAGUCAGAAUGGCUAUUAUUAAAAACUCAAAAAAUAACAGAUGCUGGCGAGGUUGCAGAGAAAAGGGAACACUUAUACACUGUUGGUGGGAGUGUAAAUUAGUUCAACUAUUGUGUAAAGCAAUAUGUCAAUUCCUCAAAGAGCUAAAAAAGAACUACCAUUGGACUCAGCAAUCCCAUUACUGGGUAUAUACUCAGAGGAAUAUAAGUCACUCUACUAUAAACACACACGCAUGCAAAUUUUCAUUGUAGCACUAUUUACAAUAGCAAAGACAUGGAAUCAACCUAAAUGCUCAUCAAUGACAGAUCGGAUAAAGAAAAUAUGCAUCUUCAACCUUUCUGGACUACAGCACCUGCCAACUGACCCCCACAUCAUGGCUCCAACGCUGGCUUCAUCACAUAUCUUCUCUCUCAGUCCCUUUGGCUCUCAGGGUGCAAUAGCUUAACAAAAUUGCUGAUCUAGGUGCCUCAGCAUUGUUUCUUUGUCAUAGUCUCUGUAUUAUCUUAUUUUGAGCCAUUCUUUUCCUGCAAAGAUCCUAACUGAAUGAGAUAACUACUUCAUAAGCUAUUUGUAAGGUUUAAAUAAAUUAAUGCAUAUUUAAUACA